This 253-nucleotide ribosomal RNA is filed under the name uncultured bacterium. RNAcentral's name for it is "partial 16S ribosomal RNA". It matches the Rfam family "Bacterial small subunit ribosomal RNA", at positions 524 to 776 of the family's 1533-position model. The record is from RNAcentral.
CACGUCGGGCGCAAGCGUUGUCCGGACUUAUUGGGCGUAAAGAGCUCGUAGGCGGUCUGUUGCGUCUGCUGUGAAAACCCGGGGCUUAACCCCUGGCUUGCAGUGGAUACGGACAGACUAGAGGUAGGUAGGGGAGAAUGGAAUUCCCGGUGUAGCGGUGAAAUGCGCAGAUAUCGGGAGGAACACCGGUGGCGAAGGCGGUUCUCUGGGCCUUACCUGACGCUGAGGAGCGAAAGCGUGGGGAGCGAACAGG